CAGAAGGGAGCUUGCUCCCGGAUGUUAGCGGCGGACGGGUGAGUAACACGUGGGUAACCUGCCUGUAAGACUGGGAUAACUCCGGGAAACCGGAGCUAAUACCGGAUAGUUCCUUGAACCGCAUGGUUCAAGGAUGAAAGACGGUUUCGGCUGUCACUUACAGAUGGACCCGCGGCGCAUUAGCUAGUUGGUGAGGUAACGGCUCACCAAGGCGACGAUGCGUAGCCGACCUGAGAGGGUGAUCGGCCACACUGGGACUGAGACACGGCCCAGACUCCUACGGGAGGCAGCAGUAGGGAAUCUUCCGCAAUGGACGAAAGUCUGACGGAGCAACGCCGCGUGAGUGAUGAAGGUUUUCGGAUCGUAAAGCUCUGUUGUUAGGGAAGAACAAGUGCAAGAGUAACUGCUUGCACCAUGACGGUACCUAACCAGAAAGCCACGGCUAACUACGUGCCAGCAGCCGCGGUAAUACGUAGGUGGCAAGCGUUGUCCGGAAUUAUUGGGCGUAAAGGGCUCGCAGGCGGUUUCUUAAGUCUGAUGUGAAAGCCCCCGGCUCAACCGGGGAGGGUCAUUGGAAACUGGGAAACUUGAGUGCAGAAGAGGAGAGUGGAAUUCCACGU
This 620-nucleotide ribosomal RNA is filed under the name Bacillus xiamenensis. Its description in RNAcentral is "bacterial SSU rRNA". It matches the Rfam family "Bacterial small subunit ribosomal RNA", at positions 69 to 674 of the family's 1533-position model. Lineage: Bacteria; Bacillati; Bacillota; Bacilli; Caryophanales; Bacillaceae. The record is from RNAcentral.